Long non-coding RNA from Oryzias latipes (Japanese medaka), 711 nucleotides. RefSeq lists it as uncharacterized. The record is from RefSeq and is a predicted model, not a curated record. Lineage: Eukaryota; Metazoa; Chordata; Actinopteri; Beloniformes; Adrianichthyidae.
CCCACAUUUAGAUUAUUUUAUUCAUUUCAAGGUGGCUCGUAGAUUGAUAAAUUACACAAUAUCAUACAGAAGCUGGAUACCAGUACUGAACAAGAACGCUGCAAAAAGAAUCCAUUUCUCUGACUGGUGGAUGUUUGCAGCAUGUUGCAGAGCGGCUGGCCUGAGCUGUGAAGGGGGAACGCAACUCUAUACUUGGAAUGCCGACGUCACCCCGACAACGAGGGCGGAGCAAUCCAGGAUGCAGAGGCGUGGCGUGUCGCAGGAGAGAGCCAGAGUCUAACUACAGCAGAGACGACACAAAGCUGAGUGACAUCUUUCACCAGCUGAAACAGCUCACUGAAAGUCAGAAGAAAACCGUCAAUGGCGCUGCUGAACACUGACGCCGACCUAAAACCACCAUGUGCCUUGCCCAAGGGCACUUCGACAGAUGGGAUGGCAGACCGGGAACUGAACCUGAGGCUCUCCAAUCAACCUACAAAACGUUUUCAGAAGAAAUGAUCCGAAGCGACCUUUAAAUUUGGUUUACUGCUCAAGUUAACCAGGAAGUCGACAGAAAAACCGCUGAGUGUGACUUUGUUUCAAGUGACAGAUAUCGUUAUUGUAUUUUAAAAUCUUUGUGUUUUGCUGAUUCUGAUCUCCUGUUUUACAUUAAGCUAUAAAUGUUGGUGAUUAAAUGCUUAUUUGCAUGAAUAAUAAAAUUCAUUAAUUUUA